UCCACCCUUCCUUCUUCCCCUCUGCCCCGACGCGAACACCCCUCUUCCUUCUCUCUCGCAGACAAGCGGCGCCGAAGGGAUUAGGGCUUUCAGCUCCGGCGAUCUUCCUCUAUCGACAUUGGCGGCCGUUGAGCUCAGAUCCAGGCAGCACUAUUCCUCUCCGGAUCACAGACAUGGCGUUGUAUAUUCUCUAGUCGACAGCCGACCUUUCUUCCCCGAUCCGAUCGGUGGUGUGAAGAGACAAAUAGGGCGCUGAGGAUCGGAUCUUGGAUCCCUUCUUCGUUGCGAUUGAUUGGGGGUUGCGGUUGAAUUAGGUCACGGAUUGGAGGUAUUGGAGAUCAGUGAGUUUGUUCUUGAGCUGUCGGGCAGAGUCUAGGUUUGUAAUUGAUCAGUGAUGAUCUUCCGAUUGGGUGAUUUCUUCUUCCUUGCUGCUGGCUAAUCUGUUGAGCAGCUCAAUUGGGUUUCGGCAGAACCUCCCUCCAGCAGCAUCUUGUUUCAACAGCAACUUGAUUAAAGCAGUGAGGUUCUGUUGCUGUGUUGUUGACAAAGGUUUUGGAUCAGUGAGGUGAAUUCGAGCAGCAUUCCUUGAUCCAGCAAUCAACAGGGCUGUGAAUCGAGGUUGAGGCCGGCAGGAGAGAUUCCAGUCGCUAGCCCCUUUAUCGUGAGGAUUUCCUGUUGU
This is a long non-coding RNA of Zingiber officinale, 679 nucleotides long. RefSeq lists it as uncharacterized. NCBI's taxonomy places the organism in Eukaryota, Viridiplantae, Streptophyta, Magnoliopsida, Zingiberales, Zingiberaceae. The transcript has 4 exons. The record is from RefSeq and is a predicted model, not a curated record.